CCUAGGGUUGCAACCCUAGGCUAUCACAGAACGGCCCUUCAGGCCU
This 46-nucleotide small RNA is filed under the name Aquiflexum balticum DSM 16537. Its description in RNAcentral is "Acido-Lenti-1 RNA". It matches the Rfam family "Acido-Lenti-1 RNA". The record is from Rfam by way of RNAcentral. Lineage: Bacteria; Pseudomonadati; Bacteroidota; Cytophagia; Cytophagales; Cyclobacteriaceae.